UACGUAGGUGGCGAACGUUAUCCGGAGUGACUGGGUGUAAAGGGUCCGUAGGCGGGAGGGCAAGUCUAGUGUGAAAGCGCCCGGCUCAACUGGGCGAGUGCGCUGGAAACUGCCUUUCUUGAAUCACGCAGAGGUCGGCGGAAUUCCCGGUGUAGUGGUGGAAUGCGUAGAGAUCGGGAGGAACCUCGAAAGCGAAGGCAGCCGACUGGGGGAUGAUUGACGCUGAGGGACGAAAGCGUGGGGAGCGAACAGG
RNAcentral lists this unclassified non-coding RNA (253 nucleotides) under uncultured Anaerolineae bacterium. Its description in RNAcentral is "contains 16S-23S intergenic spacer region". It matches the Rfam family "Bacterial small subunit ribosomal RNA", at positions 524 to 776 of the family's 1533-position model. The record is from RNAcentral. Lineage: Bacteria; Bacillati; Chloroflexota; Anaerolineae.